RNAcentral lists this ribosomal RNA (637 nucleotides) under uncultured Actinomycetes bacterium. RNAcentral describes it as "bacterial SSU rRNA". It matches the Rfam family "Bacterial small subunit ribosomal RNA", at positions 70 to 720 of the family's 1533-position model. The record is from RNAcentral. Lineage: Bacteria; Bacillati; Actinomycetota; Actinomycetes.
UGAAGCCCAGCUUGCUGGGUGGAUUAGUGGCGAACGGGUGAGUAACACGUGAGUAACCUGCCCUUAACUCUGGGAUAAGCUUGGGAAACUGGGUCUAAUACCGGAUAGGAGCGUCCACCGCAUGGUGGGUGUUGGAAAGAUUUAUCGGUUUUGGAUGGACUCGCGGCCUAUCAGCUUGUUGGUGAGGUAAUGGCUCACCAAGGCGACGACGGGUAGCCGGCCUGAGAGGGUGACCGGCCACACUGGGACUGAGACACGGCCCAGACUCCUACGGGAGGCAGCAGUGGGGAAUAUUGCACAAUGGGCGCAAGCCUGAUGCAGCGACGCCGCGUGAGGGAUGACGGCCUUCGGGUUGUAAACCUCUUUCAGUAGGGAAGAAGCGAAAGUGACGGUACCUGCAGAAGAAGCACCGGCUAACUACGUGCCAGCAGCCGCGGUAAUACGUAGGGUGCGAGCGUUAUCCGGAAUUAUUGGGCGUAAAGAGCUCGUAGGCGGUUUGUCGCGUCUGUCGUGAAAGUCCGGGGCUUAACCCCGGAUCUGCGGUGGGUACGGGCAGACUAGAGUGCAGUAGGGGAGACUGGAAUUCCUGGUGUAGCGGUGGAAUGCGCAGAUAUCAGGAGGAACACCGAUGGCGAAG